Molecule: unclassified non-coding RNA, 325 nt
Filed under: uncultured fungus
Lineage: Eukaryota; Fungi
Description: partial contains 5.8S ribosomal RNA and internal transcribed spacer 2
Rfam family: 5.8S ribosomal RNA (bases 1-134)
Source: RNAcentral
UGGCUCCCGCAUCGAUGAAGAACGCAGCGAAACGCGAAAUGUAAUGUGAAUUGCAGAACCCCCGUGAAUCAUCGAAUCUUUGAACGCACCUUGCGCCCUGGGGCAUUCCCCUGGGCAUGUCUGUCUGAGUGUCGCGCACCUCUCAACCACCCCGGUGGGUUGGACCGUGGCCGGCGGCUGUCGCAGCCCGGCCGAAAUGCACGCGGAGCGCGCACGCGCGUCUGCGACGUGCCACAGCGUUGUAGACCCCUCGCUGACCGUCGCGGAUGCGUGGCUCCCCAGGCUUUACUUUUUCGACCUCAGAUCAGUCAGGACUACCCGCUGA